RNAcentral lists this long non-coding RNA (409 nucleotides) under Rattus norvegicus (Norway rat). RNAcentral describes it as "long non-coding RNA NONRATT014629". The record is from RNAcentral. Lineage: Eukaryota; Metazoa; Chordata; Mammalia; Rodentia; Muridae.
UGGCACUGCCUCCCACAUUGGGGGUCCAUAUGGGCGUGGCACCACUGAAGGGCAUCAGAAGGUCUGACCAGGCCCUGUUCCCAGAGUUCUCAGGUCUAAGUCUGAAGAAGACAGCAGCAGACCGAGCAGAAGAUGUUCUGCUGCAGAAGGCAGAAGCUUUGGCAGAGGUGCUAGAUCCACAGAACCGCGAGUCUCGUUCUCCGCGUCGCUGUGUAAGGCUGCACGAGUCCUGCUUGGGACAACAGGUACCUUGCUGCGACCUGUGCGCCACGUGCUACUGCCGCUUCUUCAAUACCUUUUGCUACUGCCGCAAGCUAGGUACUGGCACCACGAACCUCUGCAGCCGCCCCUAGCCAACGGAUGUUGGGCAAAGGCAGGGGACGCGAAUAAACGAUGGGACUAACUCUAA